This 1087-nucleotide ribosomal RNA is filed under the name Salmonella enterica subsp. enterica serovar Typhimurium. Its description in RNAcentral is "partial 23S ribosomal RNA". It matches the Rfam family "Bacterial large subunit ribosomal RNA", at positions 634 to 1637 of the family's 2925-position model. Lineage: Bacteria; Pseudomonadati; Pseudomonadota; Gammaproteobacteria; Enterobacterales; Enterobacteriaceae. The record is from RNAcentral.
UCUGUAGCAAGGUUAACCGUAUAGGGGAGCCGGAGGGAAACCGAGUCUUAACCGGGCGUUAAGUUGCAGGGUAUAGACCCGAAACCCGGUGAUCUAGCCAUGGGCAGGUUGAAGGUUGGGUAACACUAACUGGAGGACCGAACCGACUAAUGUUGAAAAAUUAGCGGAUGACCUGUGGCUGGGGGUGAAAGGCCAAUCAAACCGGGAGAUAGCUGGUUCUCCCCGAAAGCUAUUUAGGUAGCGCCUCGUGAAUUCAUCUCCGGGGGUAGAGCACUGUUUCGGCUAGGGGGCCAUCCCGGCUUACCAACCCGAUGCAAACUGCGAAUACCGGAGAAUGUUAUCACGGGAGACACACGGCGGGUGCUAACGUCCGUCGUGAAGAGGGAAACAACCCAGACCGCCAGCUAAGGUCCCAAAGUCAUGGUUAAGUGGGAAACGAUGUGGGAAGGCCCAGACAGCCAGGAUGUUGGCUUAGAAGCAGCCAUCAUUUAAAGAAAGCGUAAUAGCUCACUGGUCGAGUCGGCCUGCGCGGAAGAUGUAACGGGGCUAAACCAUGCACCGAAGCUGCGGCAGCGAACGUAUCACCCAAGACAACUUUACGGAGUUGACGAUUGACGGAGCGAAGCGACGUCAAAGCGUUCAUUAAAGUCGAGUUGGCUUAGGGAUACGUUCGUUGGGUAGGGGAGCGUUCUGUAAGCCUGUGAAGGUGUGUCGUGAGGCAUGCUGGAGGUAUCAGAAGUGCGAAUGCUGACAUAAGUAACGAUAAAGCGGGUGAAAAGCCCGCUCGCCGGAAGACCAAGGGUUCCUGUCCAACGUUAAUCGGGGCAGGGUGAGUCGACCCCUAAGGCGAGGCCGAAAGGCGUAGUCGAUGGGAAACGGGUUAAUAUUCCCGUACUUGGUGUUACUGCGAAGGGGGGACGGAGAAGGCUAUGUUGGCCGGGCGACGGUUGUCCCGGUUUAAGCGUGUAGGUGUGUGUUCCAGGUAAAUCCGGUUCACUUUAACACUGAGGCGUGACGACGAGGCACUACGGUGCUGAAGCAACAAAUGCCCUGCUUCCAGGAAAAGCCUCUAAGCAUCAGGUAACAC